Molecule: ribosomal RNA, 480 nt
Filed under: uncultured bacterium
Lineage: Bacteria
Description: partial 16S ribosomal RNA
Rfam family: Bacterial small subunit ribosomal RNA
Source: RNAcentral
GACGAACGCUGGCGGCGUGCUUAACACAUGCAAGUCGAACGAUGAAGAAAAGAAUUGAAGCUUCGGCAGAAAUUCAUUUCGGAUUAGUGGCAGACGGGUGAGUAACUCGUGAGCAACCUACCUCUUACAAAGGGAUAGCCUCGGGAAACCGGGAUUAAUACCAUAUAACAUUGCGACGAAGCAUUUCGAUGCAAUCAAAGCUACGGCGGUAAGAGAUGGGCUCGCGUCCCAUUAACCAGAUGGUGAGGUAACGGCUCACCAUAGUAACGAUGGGUAACCGGCCUGAGAGGGUGAACGGUCACACUGGAACUGAGACACGGUCCAGACUCCUACGGGAGGCAGCAGUGGGGAAUAGUGCACAAUGGAGGGAACUCUGAUGCAGCGACGCCGCGUGAGUGAUGAAGGAAUUCGUUUCGUAAAACUCUGUUCUAUGGGAAGAAAAGGACUGUACCAUAGGAGAAAGCUCCGGCUAAAUACGUG